AGAAUCAACGCUGGCGGCGUGCCUAACACAUGCAAGUCGAACGAGAAAGUGGAGCAAUCCAUGAGUAAAGUGGCGACCGGGUGAGUAACACGUGACCAAUCUACCUUCGAGUGGGGGAUAACUCCGGGAAACCGGGGCUAAUACCGCAUAACAUCUUUGGAAUGCAAAUUCCGUUGAUCAAAGGAGCAAUUCGCUUGAAGAGGAGGUCGCGGCUGAUUAGCUAGUUGGCGGGGUAAUGGCCCACCAAGGCGAAGAUCGGUA
Molecule: ribosomal RNA, 261 nt
Filed under: uncultured bacterium
Lineage: Bacteria
Description: partial small subunit ribosomal RNA
Rfam family: Bacterial small subunit ribosomal RNA
Source: RNAcentral